AGAGUUUGAUCCUGGCUCAGAACGAACGCUGGCGGCAGGCCUAACACAUGCAAGUCGAGCGAGACCUUCGGGUCUAGCGGCGGACGGGUUAGUAACGCGUGGGAACGUACCCUUUUCUGCAGGAUAGCCACUGGAAACGGUGAGUAAUACUGCAUACGCCCUUCGGGGGAAAGAUUUAUCGGAGAAGGAUCGGCCCGCGUUAGAUUAGAUAGUUGGUGGGGUAACGGCCUACCAAGUCUACGAUCUAUAGCUGGUUUGAGAGGAUGAUCAGCAACACUGGGACUGAGACACGGCCCAGACUCCUACGGGAGGCAGCAGUGGGGAAUCUUAGACAAUGGGCGCAAGCCUGAUCUAGCCAUGCCGCGUGAGUGAUGAAGGCCUUAGGGUCGUAAAGCUCUUUCGCCUGUGAAGAUAAUGACUGUAGCAGGUAAAGAAACCCCGGCUAACUCCGUGCCAGCAGCCGCGGUAAUACGGAGGGGGUUAGCGUUGUUCGGAAUUACUGGGCGUAAAGCGCGCGUAGGCGGACAUUUAAGUCAGAGGUGAAAUCCCAGGGCUCAACCCUGGAACUGCCUUUGAUACUGGGUGUCUUGAGUUCGAGAGAGGUGAGUGGAAUUCCGAGUGUAGAGGUGAGAUUCGUAGAUAUUCGGAGGAACACCAGUGGCGAAGGCGGCUCACUGGCUCGAUACUGACGCUGAGGUGCGAAAGUGUGGGGAGCAAACAGGAUUAGAUACCCUGGUAGUCCACACCGUAAACGAUGAAUGCCAGUCGUCGGGUAGUAUACUAUUCGGUGACACACCUAACGGAUUAAGCAUUCCGCCUGGGGAGUACGGUCGCAAGAUUAAAACUCAAAGGAAUUGACGGG
This 862-nucleotide ribosomal RNA is filed under the name uncultured bacterium. RNAcentral describes it as "bacterial SSU rRNA". It matches the Rfam family "Bacterial small subunit ribosomal RNA", at positions 8 to 917 of the family's 1533-position model. The record is from RNAcentral.